This 94-nucleotide ribosomal RNA is filed under the name uncultured archaeon. Its description in RNAcentral is "partial 16S ribosomal RNA". The record is from RNAcentral.
CUCCCUCGUUGCUGACCCCAGGAUCGAUAGUACCAAUUAGGCAUCACCUCGCCAAGAACCAACUUCGAUGAAGCGACGGGCGGUGUGUGCAAGG